Gavialis gangeticus (Gharial) is the source of this 1028-nucleotide long non-coding RNA. RefSeq lists it as uncharacterized. The transcript has 2 exons. Lineage: Eukaryota; Metazoa; Chordata; Crocodylia; Gavialidae. The record is from RefSeq and is a predicted model, not a curated record.
AUUAAAAUGUGUUGCAACAGUACAGAGCUUUGCAUAUCUCUUUUUUUGGGGACCAACAUGGCUACAGCAUAGAUCUCUGAAACAUGGAAAAUCCCAUAUUUCAGCAUGGAAUACCGGAAAAGGUUAUUUUUACUGCUAAAUUGAAAGAGGAUUACCUUGCAGAAGUCUGCCUCCUUUAUAAAGAUGAAUGGCCAGGGCUGCUUCAUACUUCUCUGCAGAGAUUAAAUUUGCUAUUUCAGAUGGGCCUUCAUAACGAAAAGCAUCUUUAAGAAUGCAUGUAUGACCUGCGGCCUCUAGAUGAUCCCUUCAUCACAAAAAGAAAUAGAACAAGAGGAAGAGGAUAAUGUUAAUACACUGCAGGCUUGCCAUUAUGUUGAACAGUUUAAUCAAAAUAUCUCGCUUAAUAACUUUCGCCUCGAGAUUCACCUUCCUUAGAAAACCUGGCUUAGAAAAUACUUCCCCAUGUAAGAUGCUUUCUGUGAACAUCUGAUCCCUAUGCAACAUAAUAGCUGCAUCCCGUAUAAAUGGUCUGCUCCUGCAAGGUACUGAGAGCCCCCACUUUUCUUGGACAUCAAUGGCAGUGGAAGAAGUUCUGCACCUUGCAGGACGGGGGUUUCUGAACCUGAUCCACCUCCUAGUAAAGUCCAUGGGAGUGCACUCUGCGCAGGUUCAGAAUGUAAAACACCCGAAAAAAGACACAUGAAAAUGAAAAAACAUACAAGAAGCAUUCAAUUAACUAAUCCUGUUACAAUAACCACGCAUACCACUGUGCAAGAAAAAUCUGCUUCAGGGGAAAAGGAGUCGAGAUUCGAGUGGAAGACAUAAAAUUACAAUCCAUGGACACCUAUUGACAUGUUUGACUUUGGGCUUAAUCUGUUCUCGCCUCAAUUUGCCUAUCUGUACAAUAGGCUUAAAUAAAAAGGAUAAUGAUCUUCAUCAUGGUUUCAUUUAAUAAAUCACUAUUUAACAAAUGUUUUCAUGGACAUAACCAAAAGUUAAAGCUGUCGAAAUUAAAAAUCAAAACAGAG